GAUGAAGAACGUAGCGAAAUGCGAUAAGUAAUGUGAAUUGCAGAAUUCAGUGAAUCAUCGAAUCUUUGAACGCAUCUUGCGCUCCUUGGUAUUCUGAGGAGCAUGCCUGUUUGAGUGUCAUUAAAUUCUCAACCGCACUGACUUUGAAUUGGUGUGGCUUGGAUUUGGGGGGAAAAUUGUUGUGGGCUUUUUUGUAUAGUCUGCUCCCCUGAAAUUGAUUAGCGGUACCUUUGUGGAACUGUCUACAGGUGUGAUAAUUAUCUACAUCCUAGACAUCUGCUGGAAUGCUGCUUUCUAAACCUUACUUGUAUUGACAAUCUUGACCUCAAGUCAGGUAGGACUACCCGCUGAACUUAAGCAUAUCAAUAAGCGGAGGA
This 377-nucleotide unclassified non-coding RNA is filed under the name soil metagenome. RNAcentral's name for it is "partial contains 5.8S ribosomal RNA, internal transcribed spacer 2, and large subunit ribosomal RNA". The stretch from base 1 to 120 matches the Rfam family "5.8S ribosomal RNA", at positions 35 to 154 of the family's 154-position model. The record is from RNAcentral.